This 386-nucleotide long non-coding RNA is filed under the name Ursus thibetanus thibetanus. RNAcentral describes it as "lncRNA (ENSUTTG00000008730.1)". Lineage: Eukaryota; Metazoa; Chordata; Mammalia; Carnivora; Ursidae. The record is from RNAcentral.
CUAUAGUCAUCAGGAUGGUCCCUGUAUUAUAAAGAACCUGCCCUCUUCCAUUCAUUUAUGUAAAAAAAUAUUGAGCAUCUUCUCUGUGUCUUGUUCUGUAGGAGCUAAAAGCAUGAAUUAAACCCAGACCCUGCCCUCAAGGAACUUCAAGUCUAAUAGCAGAGGUGGACCAGUGCAUACCACUCAUACCCCUGGAAGACCAAGAAAAAGGAAGGAGAAAAAGAAUAGAAUGAGGAAGAGACGGAAGAAAGUGCCCUACCCAAGGUGCAUGAAGACACAGGUCAGCAUGUCAAGCACGGUAUAAAGAAUAAAAAGGAAGAACUUCUCUGAUUGGAAGUCCAAGAAAUUCUACUUUGAAGAAAGGUAUCAGGAGGGGUGUUAGAAGU